AUGCUAUGGAAGGGUGAAUUCUCACUAAAAGGCGACAUGCAUGUCACUAACCAUGUUAAUUUAUCGCUAAGAUUUCCUGACCCCAAUGGUUGUUUUAAGAAUGCCGAGUUCCCGUUCAAUGUGGACCAAGAUACCAGCCUUUCUGUGGCUCUGGAAAUGGUCUACACUUUUGGACGGUGGCGGCGGAGGCAGAGGCUAUGGCUCGAUAGCGAGACGAGUCUGUUGAGAAUAGCCAGCGACGGGCUCUUUUCUUUCGCUUGCUCUGUUUUAAAAAAAGAGGGAACUUGUGAUCCAUCUGCGCGCAAUGAGCUGGAGGCGGGGGGCACAAAAGGACACUAA
RNAcentral lists this ribosomal RNA (339 nucleotides) under Triticum aestivum (bread wheat). RNAcentral describes it as "partial small subunit ribosomal RNA". The record is from RNAcentral. Lineage: Eukaryota; Viridiplantae; Streptophyta; Magnoliopsida; Poales; Poaceae.